AUGGAAAAAAAAUCAUUUUAAGACCAUGUCAAAAUUUUGUCUUGGUAUGCUCUUCCCAGGAAAUAGGAGGCUGCAGGAAACAAGUCACACAGAGCUGAGCUUCCAAAGGGUUGUCGAAGAAAUCCUAUAACAUUCUUGUGAGGAGAACUCUAGUGGGGUAUUAUAUAUACCGAUGAUUACAUUAACAAAUUAAACUGAAGUUAAGUCCUAUAAAAGUUCACCAUAUAUAAACCAGAAAUUGUAUUAUCCAUUCUAAAAAUACAAUUCACCAACGAACAUCUCUCCUGGAAUUCCAUCACACGGUGAAAGAUAGCUUUGAAUAAAGGAAUUUUAACUUCCGACGUUCAAAUUAAAGACACACACACACAUAUAUAUAUAUAUAUAUUACUCCCGUCAAAAAUAUUUUACAUUGGCGUCAUAUCUUGUUAGCUACUGGCAAACU
This 442-nucleotide long non-coding RNA is filed under the name Oryza brachyantha (malo sina). RNAcentral describes it as "long non-coding RNA (OBRA_LNC001722)". The record is from RNAcentral. Lineage: Eukaryota; Viridiplantae; Streptophyta; Magnoliopsida; Poales; Poaceae.